UCGGGAAUUUUGGGUAAUGGGGGAAACCCUGACCCAGCAACGCCGCGUGAAGGAUGAAGUAUUUCGGUAUGUAAACUUCGAAAGAAUAGGAAGAAUAAAUGACGGUACUAUUUAUAAGGUCCGGCUAACUACGUGCCAGCAGCCGCGGUAAUACGUAGGGACCAAGCGUUGUUCGGAUUUACUGGGCGUAAAGGGCGCGUAGGCGGCAUGACAAGUCACUUGUGAAAUCUCUGGGCUUAACCCAGAACGGCCAAGUGAUACUGUCGCGCUAGAGUGCAGAAGGGGCAAUCGGAAUUCUUGGUGUAGCGGUGAAAUGCGUAGAUAUCAAGAGGAACACCUGAGGUGAAGACGGGUUGCUGGGCUGACACUGACGCUGAGGCGCGAAAGCCAGGGGAGCAAACGGGGAUUAGAUACCCAAGUAGUCCCUGAGCGGGCUGGCAAGGCGCAU
This 448-nucleotide ribosomal RNA is filed under the name uncultured bacterium. RNAcentral's name for it is "bacterial SSU rRNA". It matches the Rfam family "Bacterial small subunit ribosomal RNA", at positions 355 to 825 of the family's 1533-position model. The record is from RNAcentral.